GGUGAAGUGGCUGAGUUAGGCAAUAAAUUGUAAAUUUAUGAACGAAAUUUUAUUUCCUUCACCA
Molecule: transfer RNA, 64 nt
Filed under: Xylotrechus grayii
Lineage: Eukaryota; Metazoa; Arthropoda; Insecta; Coleoptera; Cerambycidae
Description: tRNA-Tyr
Rfam family: tRNA
About the family: Transfer RNA (tRNA) molecules are approximately 80 nucleotides in length. Their secondary structure includes four short double-helical elements and three loops (D, anti-codon, and T loops). Further hydrogen bonds mediate the characteristic L-shaped molecular structure. tRNAs have two regions of fundamental functional importance: the anti-codon, which is responsible for specific mRNA codon recognition, and the 3' end, to which the tRNAs corresponding amino acid is attached (by aminoacyl-tRNA synthetases). tRNAs cope with the degeneracy of the genetic code in two manners: having more than one tRNA (with a specific anti-codon) for a particular amino acid; and 'wobble' base-pairing, i.e. permitting non-standard base-pairing at the 3rd anti-codon position.
Source: RNAcentral